UGGAUCCCUUGCCUAUGAUGUGGUCUGUCCCAGGCCCGAGAACUGUCACGCCUGGAUGUCUGUCUGGACAGAGCUGGGAGCACCACCACAGCAGCAGGUCAGGACAAACUAGAGCUGGAGCUUGUGCUGAAGGGGUCAUAUGAGGACACACAGACAUUUGCCCUGGACACAGCCUCUGCCUUCAGCUUCCACUACAUGAGGGGCCAAGAUACAGCACUGAAUGGGUGCCUGAGGAGCUCUGGAAACAAUGGCUGGACCUCCCACACCUCAGCUGUACCCCUCAAUGUACCCCUGAAGUCCUUGACCACAGGGAAGGAGGUGACUGUAGACAUUCCUGCUACUAAUG
Non-coding RNA from Peromyscus maniculatus bairdii (prairie deer mouse), 346 nucleotides. The record is from RefSeq and is a predicted model, not a curated record. Lineage: Eukaryota; Metazoa; Chordata; Mammalia; Rodentia; Cricetidae.